CAGGGGUUAUUUUAUAAAAAUAUUAGUUUUGGGGAUUAAAGAAGAAGUUAUUGGGACUUUACCUCUGA
Molecule: transfer RNA, 68 nt
Filed under: Ectobius sp. Z254C
Lineage: Eukaryota; Metazoa; Arthropoda; Insecta; Blattodea; Ectobiidae
Description: tRNA-Pro
Source: RNAcentral